UUAAGCUACAAGAAGGCGCACUGAGGAUGCCUUGGGACUAACCGGCGAAGAAGGACGCUGCCAAUCUGCGAAAUGCCACGGGGAGCUGAUAAGCGAGUAUUGAUCCGUGGAUGUCCGAAUGGGGAAACCCCUUAUGCGGUGACGCAUAAGAUCCUGUACUGAGUGAAGUAGGUAUAGAGAAGCGAACGUGGGGAAUUGAAACAUCUUAGUACCCACAGGAAAAGAAAUCAAACAAGAGAUUGCCCUAGUAGCGGCGAGCGAAGGGGCAAUAGCCUAAACCGAUGUCAUGUCAAUCUGACUGGAGUUGUGACGUUGGGGUUAUGAGAGCAAUUGGGUACAUCAGUCAAUGUACCGCGAAGUAAGAAAUCACAUUUUUAACUGAAGAGUCUGGGAAGGCUCACCAUAGAGAGUGAAAGUCUCGUAAGUGAAAGGAAUGUGACUUCGUGGAUUGUUUCUCAAGUAAUACGGGACACGUGGAAUCCUGUGUGAAGUAGGGGAGACCAUUCUCCAAGGCUAAACACGAGUUAGUCACCGAUAGUGAACUAGUACCGCGAGGGAAAGGUGAAAAGUCCCCCGUUGAGGGGAGUGAAAUAGUAUCUGAAACAGUGUGCUUACAACCUGUAAGAGAGCGUUGAUCAUCCAUGGUGGUGAUUAGGCUUGAUUACGUACCUUUUGCAUAAUGAGCCAACGAGUUACGAUAUGUGGCAAGGUUAAGGCGAAGAGCCGGAGCCAGAGGGAAACCGAGUCUGAAUAGGGCGAAACAUUAAGUCGCACGUCGUAGACCCGAAACGGGAUGAGCUACCCAUGACCAGGUCGAAGCGUCCGUAACAGGGCGUGGAGGACCGAACCGGUGGGCGUUGAAAAGCUCUCGGAUGAGUUGUGGGUAGGGGUGAAAGGCCAAUCAAAUUCCGUGAUAGCUGGUUUUCUCCGAAACAUAUUUAGGUAUGGCCUCGUACGAACACUAUCGGAGGUAGAGCACUGACUGGGCUAGGGGCCUUACCGGGUUACCAACCCCUAUCAAACUCCGAAUGCCGAUAAGUGAUGUACGGGAGACAGACGGUGGGGGAUAAGCUUCAUCGUCAAGAGGGAAAGAACCCAGAGCGCCGUCUAAGGCCCCAAAUUCAUAGCUUAGUGGGAAAGGAUGUGGAUUUACACAGACAACCAGGAGGUUGGCUUAGAAGCAGCCAUCCUUUAAAGAAAGCGUAAUAGCUCACUGGUCGAGUGAAUCUGCGCCGAAAACGUAACGGGGCUGAAGCUAUGAGCCGAAGACGCGUCAUUUUAGAGAGUGUCGUCUCUCUGAGAUGGGUAGGAGAACAUUGUGUAUGCCGAAGAAGCGUGAGCGAGAGCACACGUGGAGGUGGCACAAGAGCUGCUGUUGGCAUGAGUAGCGAUAAACAAGGUGAGAAUCCUUGUCGCCGUAAGCCCAAGGGUUCCUGAGCAAGGUUCGUCCGCUCAGGGUUAGUCGAUACCUAAGUCGAGGCCGAAAGGCGUAGACGAUGGAUAGCAGGUGAAUAUUCCUGCACUCGCAUGAAAGCGUUACUAAUCAAGUGGUGACGAAGAAGGUUAAGCGUAGCCGGCUGUUAUGGUUGUGCCGGUUCAAGGUUGUAGGUGGAAUCUGGAGGUAAAUCCCUGGGUUCGUUAACACCGAGAGCUGAUGACGAGAGUCAAAGACUCGUAAAGUUGCUGAUACCAUGCUUCCAAGAAAGAGCUGCGUGAUGAGUUUUCAUGUGAAUCGUACCGGAAACCGACACAGGUGGGCGGGAUGAGAAAUCUAAGGCGCGUGAGAGAACUCCGCUUAAGGAACUCUGCAAAUUAACACUGUAACUUUGGAAUAAAGUGUGCCCGUAAUGGUGAAGUCGUACAGACGGAGCUGAGACGGGUCGCAGUGACUCGGGGGUAUCGACUGUUUAACAAAAACACAGGGCUCUGCGAACACAAACGUGGACGUAUAGGGUCUGACGCCUGCCCGGUGCUGGAAGGUUAAGGUGAGGGGUCAAAAGGAGUAAUCCUUUGAAGCUCUGAACUUAAGCCCCAGUAAACGGCGGCCGUAACUAUAACGGUCCUAAGGUAGCGAAAUUCCUUGUCGGGUAAGUUCCGACCUGCACGAAUGGCGUAACGAAUUCCCCACUGUCUCGAGCGGAGACUCAGCGAAAUUGGAGUAUCGGUGCAGAUACCGUUUACCCGCGGCAAGACGGAAAGACCCCGUGAACCUUUACUGUAACUUGGCAUGGACGUUGGGAUCCUCAUGUGUAGGAUAGGUGGGAGCCUUAGAGAGUUGGGCGCUAGCUCAGCUGGAGGCAACCUUGAAAUACCACCCUUGAGAGUCUCGACGUCUCACUACGAGUCGUGAAACCGGCUGUAGGACAAUGCCUGGUGGGCAGUUUGACUGGGGCGGUCGCCUCCCAAAAAGUAACGGAGGCGCGCGAUGGUUCCCUCAGGCUGGUCGGAAAUCAGCCGAAGAGUGUAAUGGCAUAAGGGAGCUUGACUGCAAGACAAACAAGUCGCGCAGGUGCGAAAGCAGGUCAUAGUGAUCCGGUGGUUCCGAAUGGAAGGGCCAUCGCUCAACGGAUAAAAGGUACUCCGGGGAUAACAGGCUUAUCUCCCCCAAGAGUUCACAUCGACGGGGAGGUUUGGCACCUCGAUGUCGGCUCAUCGCAUCCUGGGGCUGGAGCAGGUCCCAAGGGUUUGGCUGUUCGCCAAUUAAAGCGGUACGCGAGCUGGGUUCAGAACGUCGUGAGACAGUUCGGUCCCUAUCUGCCGUGGGUGUAGGAGAAUUGAGAGGGGCUGUCCUUAGUACGAGAGGACCGGGACGGACGAACCUCUGGUAUGCCGGUUGUCACGCCAGUGGCACACGCCGGGUAGCUAUGUUCGGAAGAGAUAACCGCUGAAAGCAUCUAAGUGGGAAACUCGCCUCAAAACUAUUUCUCCCGAGGUCUUUAAGACCUCCUUAAGUUCCGCAGUAGACUACUGCGUUGAUAGGCAGGGUGUGUAAGGGUAGUAAUACCUUGAGCUGACCUGUACUAAUCGAACGUGAGGCUUAGUCUU
This 3045-nucleotide ribosomal RNA is filed under the name bioreactor sludge metagenome. RNAcentral's name for it is "bacterial LSU rRNA". It matches the Rfam family "Bacterial large subunit ribosomal RNA". The record is from RNAcentral.